Molecule: ribosomal RNA, 492 nt
Filed under: uncultured bacterium
Lineage: Bacteria
Description: partial 16S ribosomal RNA
Rfam family: Bacterial small subunit ribosomal RNA
Source: RNAcentral
AGUGAACGCUGGCGGUAGGCCUAACACAUGCAAGUCGAACGGCAGCACAGUAAGAGCUUGCUCUUACGGGUGGCGAGUGGCGGACGGGUGAGGAAUACAUCGGAAUCUACUUUUUCGUGGGGGAUAACGUAGGGAAACUUAUGCUAAUACCGCAUACGACCUACGGGUGAAAGCAGGGGAUCUUCGGACCUUGCGCGACUGAAUGAGCCGAUGUCGGAUUAGCUAGUUGGCGGGGUAAAGGCCCACCAAGGCGACGAUCCGUAGCUGGUCUGAGAGGAUGAUCAGCCACACUGGAACGGAGACACGGUCCAGACUCCUACGGGAGGCAGCAGUGGGGAAUAUUGGACAAUGGGCGCAAGCCUGAUCCAGCCAUACCGCGUGGGUGAAGAAGGCCUUCGGGUUGUAAAGCCCUUUUGUUGGGAAAGAAAAGCAGCAGGUUAAUACCCCGCUGUUCUGACGGUACCCAAAGAAUAAGCACCGGCUAACUUCGUG